This 448-nucleotide ribosomal RNA is filed under the name uncultured bacterium. RNAcentral's name for it is "bacterial SSU rRNA". It matches the Rfam family "Bacterial small subunit ribosomal RNA", at positions 355 to 825 of the family's 1533-position model. The record is from RNAcentral.
UGAGGAAUCUUGCACAAUGGGCGCAAGCCUGAUGCAGCGACGCCGCGUGGGUGAAGAAGGUUUUCGGAUCGUAAAACCCUUUUCUGUGUGACGAGAACGGACGGUAGCACAGGAAUAAGUCUCGGCUAACUACGUGCCAGCAGCCGCGGUAAAACGUAGGAGACAAACGUUAUCCGGAGUUACUGGGCGUAAAGGGCGUGCAGGCGGCAGUCUAAGUCUGGCGUGAAAUAUCCCGGCUCAACCGGGAGAGGUCGUCGGAUACUGGGCAGCUCGAGGGCGGUAGAGGCGUGUGGAAUUCCCGGUGUAGCGGUGAAAUGCGUAGAUAUCGGGAGGAACAUCAGUGGCGAAGGCGGCUUUCUGGACCAAUACUGACACUGAGGCGCGAAAGCGUGGGUAGCAAACAGGAUUAGAUACCCCCGUAGUCCCUGAGCGGGCUGGCAAGGCGCAU